UGGUGUAAAGAAGAAUCCCUCUUCCCCUCUGUACACAACAUUGGGUGUAAUUACCAAAGGUACCGUUAUUGAGGUGAAUGUGAGUGAGCUUGGCCUUGUGACACAAGGGGGCAAAGUUAUCUGGGGGAAAUAUGCACAGGUAACCAACAAUCCAGAAAAUGAUGGUUGCAUUAAUGCAGUCCUGCUUGUUUGAUUGGAGUCUUAGUAAAUAUUGCACAUGAACUCUUGCAAAAUCGAGGCAAAUAAAUCAAGAAGCUUACAAGCAGUUUAAGACCUUUAGCUUCCCACAAACCAAGUGUCAAACUUGAACCCGGGAGAGGAAGGACAAAGAACUUAAACAAGUUCUGAAAAUUUUACAAAUAUUAAAGCCCAAUAGUAUACAAAC
This is a non-coding RNA of Chelonoidis abingdonii (Abingdon island giant tortoise), 385 nucleotides long. Lineage: Eukaryota; Metazoa; Chordata; Testudines; Testudinidae. The record is from RefSeq and is a predicted model, not a curated record.